GAUGAACGCUGGCGGCGUGCCUAAUACAUGCAAGUCGAGCGAACGGACGAGAAGCUUGCUUCUCUGAUGUUAGCGGCGGACGGGUGAGUAACACGUGGAUAACCUACCUAUAAGACUGGGAUAACUUCGGGAAACCGGAGCUAAUACCGGAUAAUAUUUUGAACCGCAUGGUUCAAAAGUGAAAGACGGUCUUGCUGUCACUUAUAGAUGGAUCCGCGCUGCAUUAGCUAGUUGGUAAGGUAACGGCUUACCAAGGCAACGAUGCAUAGCCGACCUGAGAGGGUGAUCGGCCACACUGGAACUGAGACACGGUCCAGACUCCUACGGGAGGCAGCAGUAGGGAAUCUUCCGCAAUGGGCGAAAGCCUGACGGAGCAACGCCGCGUGAGUGAUGAAGGUCUUCGGAGCGUAAAACUCUGUUAUUAGGGAAGAACAUAUGUGUAAGUAACUGUGCACAUCUUGACGGUACCUAAUGAGAAAGCCACGGCUAACUACGUG
RNAcentral lists this ribosomal RNA (497 nucleotides) under uncultured bacterium. Its description in RNAcentral is "partial 16S ribosomal RNA". It matches the Rfam family "Bacterial small subunit ribosomal RNA", at positions 28 to 507 of the family's 1533-position model. The record is from RNAcentral.